AAUAAGCGCAGUUGUGGGUUUUAGUGUCCAACUUUGACCGUCCGUCUUAUUUGAAAUUUUUUAUUACUAUUUUUAUUGUUAUUAGAUGAUAAAAUAUAAAUAUUACUUUAUGCGUGACUUAAUUUUUCAAAAAAAUUCAUAAAUUUUUCAAAUAAGACGGAUGGUCAAACGUUGGACACGGAAACUUACGGCUGCACUUAAA
Molecule: microRNA precursor, 202 nt
Filed under: Oryza rufipogon (brownbeard rice)
Lineage: Eukaryota; Viridiplantae; Streptophyta; Magnoliopsida; Poales; Poaceae
Description: MIR812 microRNA precursor family
Rfam family: MIR812 microRNA precursor family
Source: Rfam by way of RNAcentral